Small nuclear RNA from Suricata suricatta (meerkat), 106 nucleotides. The record is from Ensembl. NCBI's taxonomy places the organism in Eukaryota, Metazoa, Chordata, Mammalia, Carnivora, Herpestidae.
GUGCUUGUUUUGGCAGUACGUGUACUAAAAUUGGAGUGAUAGAGAAGAUUAGUAUGGCCCCUGUGCAAAAAAUGACAUGCAAAUUUGUGAGAUGUUCCAUGAUUAA